AAGCAGGCUGGCCGCCGGAAUA
This 22-nucleotide microRNA is filed under the name Gallus gallus (chicken). RNAcentral describes it as "microRNA Ros-gga". The record is from RNAcentral. Lineage: Eukaryota; Metazoa; Chordata; Aves; Galliformes; Phasianidae.